RNAcentral lists this ribosomal RNA (427 nucleotides) under uncultured bacterium. RNAcentral's name for it is "bacterial SSU rRNA". It matches the Rfam family "Bacterial small subunit ribosomal RNA", at positions 355 to 775 of the family's 1533-position model. The record is from RNAcentral.
UCGAGGAUCUUUCUCAAUGGGGGAAACCCUGAAGGAGCGACGCCGCGUGGAGGAUGAAGGUCUUCGGAUUGUAAACUCCUGUCAUUAGGGAACAAUUGUCGCCGAGUAACUGCCGGCGGCUUGAUAGUACCUGAAGAGGAAGAGACGGCUAACUCUGUGCCAGCAGCCGCGGUAAUACAGAGGUCUCAAGCGUUGCUCGGAUUCAUUGGGCGUAAAGGGUGCGCAGGCGGUGCCGCAAGUCGGGUGUGAAAUCUCAGGGCUUAACCCUGAAACUGCAUUCGAUACUGCGGUGCUUGAGGACUGGAGAGGAGACUGGAAUUCUCGGUGUAGCGGUGAAAUGCGUAGAUAUCGAGAGGAACACCGGUGGCGAAGGCGGGUCUCUGGACAGUUCCUGACGCUCAUGCACGAAGGCCAGGGGAGCAAACGG